Molecule: ribosomal RNA, 256 nt
Filed under: uncultured bacterium
Lineage: Bacteria
Description: partial 16S ribosomal RNA
Rfam family: Bacterial small subunit ribosomal RNA
Source: RNAcentral
UACGUAGGGUCCAAGCGUUAUCCGGAAUCACUGGGCGUAAAGCGUUUGUAGGCGGAAAAUUUUAAGUGAGAUGCGAAAUCUUGUGGCUCAACCAUAUAGACGGUAUCUCAUACUGGGUUUCUAGAAGAUGGCAGAGGCAAGUGGAAUUAGUAGUGUAGCGGUAAAAUGCGUAGAUAUUACUAGGAACACCAAUGGCGAAGGCAGCUUGCUGGGCCAUCCUUGACGCUGAGAAACGAAAGCGUGGGGAGCGAACAGG